ACCUAUAGUUUCUCAGCGAUAGGCACUCGUUCAUCCCCUUGGCUACUUGAAACUGCUGCCGUGUCGGCUGCAACGCU
Molecule: small RNA, 77 nt
Filed under: Vibrio cholerae O1 biovar El Tor str. N16961
Lineage: Bacteria; Pseudomonadati; Pseudomonadota; Gammaproteobacteria; Vibrionales; Vibrionaceae
Source: RNAcentral